Molecule: ribosomal RNA, 465 nt
Filed under: Vreelandella stevensii
Lineage: Bacteria; Pseudomonadati; Pseudomonadota; Gammaproteobacteria; Oceanospirillales; Halomonadaceae
Description: partial 16S ribosomal RNA
Rfam family: Bacterial small subunit ribosomal RNA
Source: RNAcentral
CCUACGGGGGGCAGCAGUGGGGAAUAUUGGACAAUGGGGGCAACCCUGAUCCAGCCAUGCCGCGUGUGUGAAGAAGGCCCUCGGGUUGUAAAGCACUUUCAGUGAGGAAGAACGCCUGGUGGUUAAUACCCAUCAGGAAAGACAUCACUCACAGAAGAAGCACCGGCUAACUCCGUGCCAGCAGCCGCGGUAAUACGGAGGGUGCGAGCGUUAAUCGGAAUUACUGGGCGUAAAGCGCGCGUAGGUGGCUUGAUAAGCCGGUUGUGAAAGCCCCGGGCUCAACCUGGGAACGGCAUCCGGAACUGUCAAGCUAGAGAGCAGGAUAGGAAGGUAGAAUUCCCGGUGUAGCGGUGAAAUGCGUAGAGAUCGGGAGGAAUACCAGUGGCGAAGGCGGCCAUCUGGAAUGACACUGACACUGAGGUGCGAAAGCGUGGGUAGCAAACAGGAAUAGCUACACCAGUAGUC